UACGUAGGUGGCAAGCGUUGUUCGGAAUUAUUGGGCGUAAAGGGCGCGUAGGCGGUUUGUUAAGUCGGUCGUGAAAGCCCGGGGCUCAACCCCGGAGGGUCGACCGAUACUGGCAGACUAGAGUACAGAAGAGGUAACUGGAAUUCCCGGUGUAGCGGUGAAAUGCGUAGAUAUCGUAAGGAAGACCAGUGGCGAAGGCGGGUCUCUGGACAGUUCCUGACGCUGAGGCACGAAGGUCAGGGGAGCAAACGGG
This 253-nucleotide ribosomal RNA is filed under the name uncultured bacterium. Its description in RNAcentral is "partial 16S ribosomal RNA". It matches the Rfam family "Bacterial small subunit ribosomal RNA", at positions 524 to 776 of the family's 1533-position model. The record is from RNAcentral.